Molecule: unclassified non-coding RNA, 336 nt
Filed under: soil metagenome
Description: partial contains 5.8S ribosomal RNA, internal transcribed spacer 2, and large subunit ribosomal RNA
Rfam family: 5.8S ribosomal RNA (bases 1-120)
Source: RNAcentral
GAUGAAGAACGCAGCGAAAUGCGAUAAGUAAUGUGAAUUGCAGAAUUCAGUGAAUCAUCGAAUCUUUGAACGCACAUUGCGCCCGCCAGCAUUCUGGCGGGCAUGCCUGUUCGAGCGUCAUUUCAACCCUCAAGCUCUGCUUGGUGUUGGGGCCCUACGGUUGACGUAGGCCCUUAAAGGUAGUGGCGGACCCUCUCGGAGCCUCCUUUGCGUAGUAACUAACGUCUCGCACUGGGAUUCGGAGGGAUUCUGGCCGUAAAACCCCCAAUUUUUUAAGGUUGACCUCGGAUCAGGUAGGAAUACCCGCUGAACUUAAGCAUAUCAAUAAGCGGAGGA